AUUGAGCGCUGGCGGCAGGCCUAACACAUGCAAGUCGAACGGUAACAGAAAGCAGCUUGCUGCUUUGCCGACGAGUGGCGGACGGGUGAGUAAUGUCUGGGGAACUGUCUGAUGGAGGGGGAUAACUACUGGGAACGGUAGCUAAUACCGCAUAACGUCGCAAGACCAAAGAGGGGGACCUUCGGGCCUCUUGCCAUCGGGUGUGCCCAGAUGGGAUUAGCUAGUAGGUGGGGUAACGGCUCACCUAGGCGACGAUCCCUAGCUGGUCUGAGAGGAUGACCAGCCACACUGGAACUGAGACACGGUCCAGACUCCUACGGGAGGCAGCAGUGGGGAAUAUUGCACAAUGGGCGCAAGCCUGAUGCAGCCAUGCCGCGUGUAUGAAGAAGGCCUUCGGGUUGUAAAGUACUUUCAGCGGGGAGGAAGGGAGUAAAGUUAAUACCUUUGCUCAUUGACGUUACCCGCAGAAGAAGCACCGGCUAACUCCGUG
This 490-nucleotide ribosomal RNA is filed under the name uncultured bacterium. RNAcentral's name for it is "partial 16S ribosomal RNA". It matches the Rfam family "Bacterial small subunit ribosomal RNA", at positions 30 to 507 of the family's 1533-position model. The record is from RNAcentral.